AACGGUCUAUACCUGCGGUACCUGCGGAAGGAUCAUUACCGAGUUUACAAAACUCCCAAACCCUUUGUGAACCUUACCUAUCGUUGCUUCGGCGGGAACGCCCCGGCGCCCUCGCGGCCCGGAACCAGGCGCCCGCCGGAGGCCCCAAACCCUCAUGUCUUUAGUGGUUUCCUCCUCUGAGUGACAUAAACAAAUAAAGUAAAAACUUUUAACAACGGAUCUCUAGAUCGGAAGAGCACA
RNAcentral lists this unclassified non-coding RNA (240 nucleotides) under soil metagenome. Its description in RNAcentral is "partial contains 5.8S ribosomal RNA, internal transcribed spacer 2, and large subunit ribosomal RNA". The record is from RNAcentral.